GAUGAACGCUAGCUACAGGCUUAACACAUGCAAGUCGAGGGGCAGCAUCAUCAAAGCUUGCUUUGAUGGAUGGCGACCGGCGCACGGGUGAGUAACACGUAUCCAACCUGCCGACAACUCUGGGAUAGCCUUUCGAAAGAAAGAUUAAUACCGGAUGGCAUAGUUUUCCCGCAUGGGAUGACUAUUAAAGAAUUUCGGUUGUCGAUGGGGAUGCGUUCCAUUAGGCAGUUGGCGGGGUAACGGCCCACCAAACCAACGAUGGAUAGGGGUUCUGAGAGGAAGGUCCCCCACAUUGGAACUGAGACACGGUCCAAACUCCUACGGGAGGCAGCAGUGAGGAAUAUUGGUCAAUGGACGAGAGUCUGAACCAGCCAAGUAGCGUGAAGGAUGACUGCCCUAUGGGUUGUAAACUUCUUUUAUACGGGAAUAAAGUGAGCCACGUGUGGUUUUU
RNAcentral lists this ribosomal RNA (451 nucleotides) under uncultured Bacteroides sp. Its description in RNAcentral is "bacterial SSU rRNA". It matches the Rfam family "Bacterial small subunit ribosomal RNA", at positions 28 to 470 of the family's 1533-position model. The record is from RNAcentral. Lineage: Bacteria; Pseudomonadati; Bacteroidota; Bacteroidia; Bacteroidales; Bacteroidaceae.